GAUGAAGAACGUAGCGAAAUGCGAUAAGUAAUGUGAAUUCCAGAAUUCAGUGAAUCAUCGAAUCUUUGAACGCACAUUGCGCCCGCCAGUAUUCUGGCGGGCAUGCCUGUUCGAGCGUCAUUUCAACCAUCAAGCCCCCGGCUUGUGUUGGGGACCCGCGGCUGCCGCAGGCCCUGAAAAGCAGUGGCGGGCUCGCUGUCACACCGAGCGUAGUAGCAUACAUCUCGCUCUGGGCGUGCUGCGGGUUCCGGCCGUUAAACCACCUUCAUAACCCAAGGUUGACCUCGGAUCAGGUAGGAAGACCCGCUGAACUUAAGCAUAUCAAUAAGCGGAGGA
RNAcentral lists this unclassified non-coding RNA (336 nucleotides) under soil metagenome. RNAcentral's name for it is "partial contains 5.8S ribosomal RNA, internal transcribed spacer 2, and large subunit ribosomal RNA". The stretch from base 1 to 120 matches the Rfam family "5.8S ribosomal RNA", at positions 35 to 154 of the family's 154-position model. The record is from RNAcentral.